RNAcentral lists this ribosomal RNA (423 nucleotides) under Verrucomicrobiota bacterium. Its description in RNAcentral is "Verrucomicrobia bacterium partial 16S ribosomal RNA". It matches the Rfam family "Bacterial small subunit ribosomal RNA", at positions 355 to 776 of the family's 1533-position model. Lineage: Bacteria; Pseudomonadati; Verrucomicrobiota. The record is from RNAcentral.
UGAGGAAUAUUGGUCAAUGGACGCAAGUCUGAACCAGCCAAGUAGCGUGCAGGAUGACGGCCCUAUGGGUUGUAAACUGCUUUUAUAUGGGGAUAAAGUGGGGAACGUGUUCCCUUUUGCAGGUACCAUAUGAAUAAGGACCGGCUAAUUCCGUGCCAGCAGCCGCGGUAAUACGUAUGGGGCGAGCGUUGUCCGGAAUUAUUGGGCGUAAAGGGUACGUAGGCGGUCUAUUAAGUCAGGUGUGAAAGCGUGAGGCUUAACCUCAUUAAGCACUUGAAACUGAUAGACUUGAGUGAAGGAGAGGAAAGUGGAAUUCCUAGUGUAGCGGUGAAAUGCGUAGAUAUUAGGAGGAAUACCGGUGGCGAAGGCGACUUUCUGGACUUUUACUGACGCUCAGGUACGAAAGCGUGGGGAGCAAACAGG